RNAcentral lists this ribosomal RNA (246 nucleotides) under uncultured bacterium. RNAcentral describes it as "partial 16S ribosomal RNA". It matches the Rfam family "Bacterial small subunit ribosomal RNA", at positions 526 to 771 of the family's 1533-position model. The record is from RNAcentral.
CGGAGGAUGCGAGCGUUAUCCGGAUUUAUUGGGUUUAAAGGGUGCGUAGGUUGUUUUUUAAGUCAGCGGUGAAAGUUUGUGGCUUAACCAUAAAAUUGCCGUUGAAACUGGGGAACUUGAGUGUGUUUGAGGUAGGCGGAAUGCGUGGUGUAGCGGUGAAAUGCAUAGAUAUCACGCAGAACUCCAAUUGCGAAGGCAGCUUACUAAACCAUAACUGACACUGAAGCACGAAAGCGUGGGGAUCAA